Molecule: long non-coding RNA, 1178 nt
Filed under: Pongo abelii (Sumatran orangutan)
Lineage: Eukaryota; Metazoa; Chordata; Mammalia; Primates; Hominidae
Description: lncRNA (ENSPPYG00000035098.1)
Source: RNAcentral
AUGAUGAACCUUGCUGACUCAGUCCUCUGCGUAAUCAUCCAUGCUCACACUACAAGCAAUGCUGUAAAGCAGAGGCAACACCUGUGUGCUGAUGGCGCCCCCAGUGGGGAGGAGGAGAGUUUACACACAGGGCACAGUGCUGCCUCUGAGCCCACUCUCCCAUCCAAAUGCCUAACAUACACUUUCUCAAGCCCACUUUAUGCCAAAAAAAUUAGAUAUCUCUCUCUGCAGUUGAGCGUGGCAAUAAUUCAUACUUCUUCUUGCAGUUGUGAGAUCUGGUGUGGCUGGGGGUCGAAUGCGAAGUGAACUAUUAAAAUACAUGGAAGCACUGUAAACCUGAAUGCUCAGAGGAAGGAGAUUCAAAGAGAAAAUCUGAGAGCAAUACUUCUGAAUGAAUCACAGAGAAGAGAACCUCAGGGACUCUCCUUGGUUCUUGGAUUUGUCCUGGGAGAAGCCAGCAGUCUGUUGCUCCUCCAGGAGCCGUGGUGUUCAGGCCUCAAGAAUAAAUGCAUUUGGUCACUCUUUUUUGGUGAUGUGGUGGGGGGUGCAGUAUAUGGCAUCUAUCACAAUGGUUACUCUUAAUAUUGUUUCUUGAAUCUCAGGUUUGUGGUCCACACAAGGUGGAAGUAGCAGAGCUUAUUCCAGCUCUCACACUCAUUUCCAUAGCUGCUCCUGGCAGCUGAGAGCUGGGCACCAGUGGUCAGAAGAGGAGGGAGAACAGCAGCACUGACUCAACAGCAAUGGGAGGUUGAAUGUGGCAUGAAUGCAGGACAUGCAGCCCCACUUACGGUCCUGUCUGGGAUGUUCACUCCUCGGCCUUGGCCAGACAUCAAGGCUACACACAGUUCAUUAAAACAUGAACAUCCUGAUUCCAGGACUUUGAAGAUAGGAAUCGCCCAUUCCAAACCAGAUGCUGCCCACAAGCAGCUGAGCAAGGAGCCAAAGGUGGUGAAUGAUUAGCAGAACUGCCAGACAGCUCCAGAGUCUGUGGACACGAAGUACCUGGAAAGCUGUUUAAUGGGUGUGAUAUUAUGAUUAUAUACAUGUUGGUUUUUGUCCAUGGCUCCUAGCUCAUAUCUCCUUAACCCUGAUACAGUCUUUUGUGAUAAUGUUGGGAGCACUUUAGGCUUCAGAAGCAGACCUCAGGAAACAGAAUCUCUCUCUCUGACCUUCUCCGC